CCUACGGGUGACUGCAGUGGGGAAUAUUGGGCAAUGGGCGCAAGCCUGACCCAGCAACGCCGCGUGAAGGAAGAAGGCUUUCGGGUUGUAAACUUCUUUUCUCAGGGACGAAGCAAGUGACGGUACCUGAGGAAUAAGCCACGGCUAACUACGUGCCAGCAGCCGCGGUAAUACGGAGGUGGCAACCGUUAUCCGGAUUUACUGGGGUGAAAGGGCGGGUAGGCGGGGACGUAAGUCAGAGGUGAAAACCACGGGCUCAACCUGUGGACUGCAUUUGAAACUGUGUUUUUUGAGUACUGGAGAGGCAGACGGAAGUCCUAGUGUAGCGGUGAAAUGCGUAGAUAUUAGGAGGAACACCAGUGGCGAAGGCGGUCUGCUGGACAGCAACUGACGCUGAGGCGCGAAAGCGUGGGGAGCAAACAGGAUUAGAUACCCUGGUAGUC
Molecule: ribosomal RNA, 443 nt
Filed under: uncultured bacterium
Lineage: Bacteria
Description: partial 16S ribosomal RNA
Rfam family: Bacterial small subunit ribosomal RNA
Source: RNAcentral